GAUGAACGCUGGCGGCGUGCUUAACACAUGCAAGUCGAACGAAGCACUUUAUUUGAUUUCCUUCGGGACUGAUUAUUUUGUGACUGAGUGGCGGACGGGUGAGUAACGCGUGGGUAACCUGCCUUGUACAGGGGGAUAACAGUUGGAAACGGCUGCUAAUACCGCAUAAGCGCACAGCAUCGCAUGAUGCAGUGUGAAAAACUCCGGUGGUAUGAGAUGGACCCGCGUUGGAUUAGCUAGUUGGUGAGGUAACGGCCCACCAAGGCUACGAUCCAUAGCCGACCUGAGAGGGUGACCGGCCACAUUGGGACUGAGACACGGCCCAAACUCCUACGGGAGGCAGCAGUGGGGAAUAUUGCACAAUGGGCGAAAGCCUGAUGCAGCGACGCCGCGUGAGCGAAGAAGUAUUUCGGUAUGUAAAGCUCUAUCAGCAGGGAAGAUAAUGACGGU
This 450-nucleotide ribosomal RNA is filed under the name uncultured bacterium. Its description in RNAcentral is "bacterial SSU rRNA". It matches the Rfam family "Bacterial small subunit ribosomal RNA", at positions 28 to 458 of the family's 1533-position model. The record is from RNAcentral.